Molecule: ribosomal RNA, 477 nt
Filed under: uncultured bacterium
Lineage: Bacteria
Description: partial 16S ribosomal RNA
Rfam family: Bacterial small subunit ribosomal RNA
Source: RNAcentral
AUUGAACGCUGGCGGCAUGCCUUACACAUGCAAGUCGAACGGUAACAGGUUAAGCUGACGAGUGGCGAACGGGUGAGUAAUGUAUCGGAACGUGCCCAGUCGUGGGGGAUAACUGCUCGAAAGAGCAGCUAAUACCGCAUACGACCUGAGGGUGAAAGCGGGGGAUCGCAAGACCUCGCGCGAUUGGAGCGGCCGAUAUCAGAUUAGGUAGUUGGUGAGGUAAAGGCUCACCAAGCCGACGAUCUGUAGCUGGUCUGAGAGGACGACCAGCCACACUGGGACUGAGACACGGCCCAGACUCCUACGGGAGGCAGCAGUGGGGAAUUUUGGACAAUGGGCGCAAGCCUGAUCCAGCCAUGCCGCGUGCGGGAAGAAGGCCUUCGGGUUGUAAACCGCUUUUGUCAGGGAAGAAAAGGUUCUGGCUAUUACCUGGGACUCAUGACGGUACCUGAAGAAUAAGCACCGGCUAACUACGUG